GCCUCGGUAGCUCAGUCGGCAGAUCGCGUGCCUUUUAAGGCCGUGGCCGCGGGUUCGGGCCCCGCCCGAGGUG
Molecule: transfer RNA, 73 nt
Filed under: Perkinsus olseni
Lineage: Eukaryota; Perkinsozoa; Perkinsida; Perkinsidae
Rfam family: tRNA
About the family: Transfer RNA (tRNA) molecules are approximately 80 nucleotides in length. Their secondary structure includes four short double-helical elements and three loops (D, anti-codon, and T loops).
Source: Rfam by way of RNAcentral